Molecule: ribosomal RNA, 164 nt
Filed under: uncultured bacterium
Lineage: Bacteria
Description: partial 16S rRNA
Rfam family: Bacterial small subunit ribosomal RNA
Source: RNAcentral
UAGGGAAUCUUCGGCAAUGGACGAAAGUCUGACCGAGCAACGCCGCGUGAGUGAAGAAGGUUUUCGGAUCGUAAAACUCUGCUGUUAGAGAAGAACAAGGGUGAGAGUAACUGUUCACCCCUUGACGGUAUCUAACCAGAAAGCCACGGCUAACUACGUGCCAG